Molecule: ribosomal RNA, 394 nt
Filed under: uncultured bacterium
Lineage: Bacteria
Description: bacterial SSU rRNA
Rfam family: Bacterial small subunit ribosomal RNA
Source: RNAcentral
CCGCGUGAGCGAAGAAGUAUUUCGGUAUGUAAAGCUCUAUCAGCAGGGAAGAAAAUGACGGUACCUGACUAAGAAGCCCCGGCUAACUACGUGCCAGCAGCCGCGGUAAUACGUAGGGGGCAAGCGUUAUCCGGAUUUACUGGGUGUAAAGGGAGCGUAGACGGAAUGGCAAGUCUGAUGUGAAAGGCCGGGGCUCAACCCCGGGACUGCAUUGGAAACUGUCAAUCUAGAGUACCGGAGGGGUAAGUGGAAUUCCUAGUGUAGCGGUGAAAUGCGUAGAUAUUAGGAGGAACACCAGUGGCGAAGGCGGCUUACUGGACGGUAACUGACGUUGAGGCUCGAAAGCGUGGGGAGCAAACAGGAUUAGAUACCCUGGUAGUCCACGCCGUAAACG